GUUGUAGGGGACACCAUGCAUCCGGAACAAGGCAGAUGAAAGAUGAAAACCUAGGCAAGCCCUCUGCUUUUGCAGAAGGAACGUGGCCGCAGGCUUUUCAGCAUUGAAUUUGAACAAGCCAAUGGUAUCCCAAUCAUCGAAACAGGAAGCCAGAUAAACAGCAUGUUAUCAAGGGGGGAUCCGGGCGCUUCCCUUAAGCCGGCGCCAGCUGCGCCCUGUGGCUGUCCUAACAAAGUCCCAUUGACUCACCAGCUGAUUUUCCCGUGUUGGGCUCCGGGGGACAAGAAACCCCCUCUGCUGAGUGGACUUCACCCCUGCACACCGCCCCCACCACUCACCACUCACGCCCUCCCCUGAUCCCGUCUCCCCUCUCUGCCCUCUGCAGACUUGGCUGAUUCUUUAUCCUAGGACCAGGUUAUAUUGGGGAACACUUCCACUGGGCUGGCGCCAAAGAGGACAGCCUCCGGGAGUGUGGCCGGCCGACGCUUCGCAGCACAACUUGGGCACCCAGUGAACAUUUUCUGGAACAGCCCGGCAAGGUCACCUGCUCCAGCUGCUCUGCUCGCUCCGCUGGGAUGGGAGAAAACACGGGUAUUUCACAGAAAGGGAAACUGAGGCUCCGAAAGGCUGACGCUGGUAGCCCCUAGUGAGUCAAGUCCUGGAGCAGACGCGCGGUCCCCCAGGGACGCCUCGGCACACACCCUCCCGGGAAGCCGCCAGCGCCUCCGUUGUUAUUCCAGCGCCUCUCUCGAGCCCAGCCCGCAGCCUCCCCGGGGCACCAGGCUCACCUCCCCCCGGGGAUCUGUCCCGGCCCGGCAAAGUGGGAAGCGGCGGCCGCCGCGCGCAGUCCGGUCCCCGCCCCCGCGACGACCCCGCGCGGGCCACUCACC
This is a long non-coding RNA of Felis catus (domestic cat), 890 nucleotides long. RefSeq lists it as uncharacterized. The transcript is spliced from 3 exons. The record is from RefSeq and is a predicted model, not a curated record. Lineage: Eukaryota; Metazoa; Chordata; Mammalia; Carnivora; Felidae.